GUGCCUAAUACAUGCAAGUCGAGCGAACAGAUGAGAAGCUUGCUUCUCUGAUGUUAGCGGCGGACGGGUGAGUAACACGUGGGUAACCUACCUAUAAGACUGGGAUAACUCCGGGAAACCGGGGCUAAUACCGGAUAAUAUUUUGAACCGCAUGGUUCAAUAGUGAAAGACGGUUUCGGCUGUCACUUAUAGAUGGACCCGCGCCGUAUUAGCUAGUUGGUAAGGUAAUGGCUACCAAGGCGACGAUACGUAGCCGACCUGAGAGGGUGAUCGGCCACACUGGAACUGAGACACGGUCCAGACUCCUACGGGAGGCAGCAGUAGGGAAUCUUCCGCAAUGGGCGAAAGCCUGACGGAGCAACGCCGCGUGAGUGAUGAAGGUCUUCGGAUCGUAAAACUCUGUUGUUAGGGAAGAACAAAUUUGUUAGUAACUGAACAAGUCUUGACGGUACCUAACCAGAAAGCCACGGCUAACUACGUGCCAGCAGCCGCGGUAAUACGUAGGUGGCAAGCGUUAUCCGGAAUUAUUGGGCGUAAAGCGCGCGUAGGCGGUUUCUUAAGUCUGAUGUGAAAGCCCACGGCUCAACCGUGGAGGGUCAUUGGAAACUGGGAAACUUGAGUGCAGAAGAGGAGAGUGGAAUUCCAUGUGUAGCGGUGAAAUGCGCAGAGAUAUGGAGGAACACCAGUGGCGAAGGCGGCUCUCUGGUCUGUAACUGACGCUGAUGUGCGAAAGCGUGGGGAUCAAACAGGAUUAGAUACCCUGGUAGUCCACGCCGUAAACGAUGAGUGCUAAGUGUUAGGGGGUCUCCGCCCCCUUAGUGCUGCAGCUAACGCAUUAAGCACUCCGCCUGGGGAGUACGACCGCAAGGUUGAAACUCAAAUGAAUUGACGG
RNAcentral lists this ribosomal RNA (892 nucleotides) under uncultured Staphylococcus sp. RNAcentral's name for it is "bacterial SSU rRNA". It matches the Rfam family "Bacterial small subunit ribosomal RNA", at positions 44 to 916 of the family's 1533-position model. Lineage: Bacteria; Bacillati; Bacillota; Bacilli; Caryophanales; Staphylococcaceae. The record is from RNAcentral.